RNAcentral lists this ribosomal RNA (119 nucleotides) under Pteropus alecto (black flying fox). Lineage: Eukaryota; Metazoa; Chordata; Mammalia; Chiroptera; Pteropodidae. The record is from RNAcentral.
GUCUGUGGCCAUACCACUCUGAACAUGCCUGAUCUUGUCUGAUCUCGGAAGCUAAGCAGGGUUGGGCCUGGUUAGUACUUGGAUGGGAGACCACCUAGGAAUACCAAGUGCUGUUGGCA